RNAcentral lists this ribosomal RNA (270 nucleotides) under uncultured bacterium. RNAcentral's name for it is "partial 16S ribosomal RNA". It matches the Rfam family "Bacterial small subunit ribosomal RNA", at positions 29 to 310 of the family's 1533-position model. The record is from RNAcentral.
AACGAACGCUGGCGGCGUGCUUAACACAUGCAAGUCGAGUGCGCGCCUGUAGCAAUACAGGUGGCGCACGGCGCACGGGUGCGUAACACGUGGGUAACCUGCCCUUUAGUGGGGAAUAACCUCGCGAAAGCGAGGCUAAUUCCGCAUAAGAUCCGCAAGGAUGAAAGCCGUAAGGCGCUGAUGGAGGGGCCCGCGCACGAUUAGCUAGUUGGUAGGGUAAUGGCCUACCAAGGCUAUGAUCGUUAGCUGGUCUGAGAGGAUGGCCAGCCA